UGGGGAAUAUUGGACAAUGGGCGAAAGCCUGAUCCAGCCAUGCCGCGUGUGUGAAGAAGGUCUUCGGAUUGUAAAGCACUUUAAGUUGGGAGGAAGGGCAGUAAGCGAAUACCUUGCUGUUUUGACGUUACCGACAGAAUAAGCACCGGCUAACUCUGUGCCAGCAGCCGCGGUAAUACAGAGGGUGCAAGCGUUAAUCGGAAUUACUGGGCGUAAAGCGCGCGUAGGUGGUUCGUUAAGUUGAAUGUGAAAGCCCCGGGCUCAACCUGGGAACUGCAUCCAAAACUGGCGAGCUAGAGUAGGGCAGAGGGUGGUGGAAUUUCCUGUGUAGCGGUUAAAUGCGUAGGUAUAGGAAGGAACACCAGUGGCGAAGGCGACCACCUGGGCUCAUACUGACACUGGGGUGCGAAAGCGUGGGGGGCAAACAAG
Molecule: ribosomal RNA, 429 nt
Filed under: Pseudomonadota bacterium
Lineage: Bacteria; Pseudomonadati; Pseudomonadota
Description: Proteobacteria bacterium partial 16S ribosomal RNA
Rfam family: Bacterial small subunit ribosomal RNA
Source: RNAcentral